AGAUGGAUUGAUCUCAGUUCAUCUUCUAAGUGAUUCCACUGAAUUCCUUAAGGGCCAAUUUCAGUAAAGUAGAUGGAGCAAACUUUACCGAAGCACCAAUGUUGAUCUUUUCUGGUUUGAUCUCAUAAGGUCUGCAUGACCACCUUGUAAUUCGCGAUCAGGAGACGUGCUGUUGGUCCAACUAGUUUUCCUGGAACGCGUGUCCUUCAAAUCUGAUACUAUUUUGUGGUUAUGCUCGGCAUUUGGACAUGGCAUUGUUUUUCUUACCCUAGGACAUGGCAUUGUUUGUUCUUACAUUACUGAACUCAUAUAUCUACAAGUUGAAGUUGAGUGCCCGUGCGUUGCCACGGAAUAAAAGAAACAUUGUGAUUAUUAUUUUAAUUUUGAAAUAAUAUUGAAUACCAUUUAA
Aegilops tauschii subsp. strangulata is the source of this 409-nucleotide non-coding RNA. The record is from RefSeq and is a predicted model, not a curated record. NCBI's taxonomy places the organism in Eukaryota, Viridiplantae, Streptophyta, Magnoliopsida, Poales, Poaceae.